RNAcentral lists this ribosomal RNA (261 nucleotides) under uncultured bacterium. RNAcentral's name for it is "partial 16S ribosomal RNA". It matches the Rfam family "Bacterial small subunit ribosomal RNA", at positions 225 to 504 of the family's 1533-position model. The record is from RNAcentral.
GUGGGCUCGCGUCCGAUUAGCUAGUUGUAGGGUAACGGCCUACCAAGGCGACGAUCGGUAGCCGAACUGAGAGGGUGGACGGCCACAUUGGGACUGAGACACGGCCCAAACUCCUACGGGAGGCAGCAGUGGGGAAUAUUGCACAAUGGGGGAAACCCUGAUGCAGCGACGCCGCGUGAGCGAAGAAGUAUUUCGGUAUGUAAAGCUCUAUCAGCAGGGAAGAAACUGACGGUACCUGACUAAGAAGCACCGGCUAAAUAC